UUCAUAGGGAAGAUAGUUGGUGUCAGUUGAGACACAUCUUAAGAUGUGUCUCAACUGGUGAAAAGGGAAACAGGUGCAAUUCCUGUACGAUCUCGUCACUGUGAUUAGGGAGUACACUUCCAAGAGGCGCACUGAACAAUGUUUUGUUUGGGAAGGCGGAAGUGAUGCGAGGAUCUAUCAGCCAGGAGACCUGCCAAUUAUCUGGUACAGCA
This 212-nucleotide non-coding RNA is filed under the name Roseburia sp. CAG:197. The record is from RNAcentral. Lineage: Bacteria; Bacillati; Bacillota; Clostridia; Lachnospirales; Lachnospiraceae. RNAcentral also lists the same sequence under 1 other name.